GUUUUAUUUUAAAAUAAUUUAUUUAUUUUACUUAUUAUGUUUAAAUAUUUUCAGAAAGAAAUAUAAUUUAAUUUUAUUUUUUUAAUUCAUUUUUUAAUUUUUAAUUAUUUAAUAUUUAAAAAUAUUAAUGUAUAAUAGAGAAAAAAAUGAUGUUAAUAAUUAUAAUAAUUUAUUGUUGUAUUGUUUUUCCACCGCAUCGCGCGUGGUCCUUAACUAGUAAAUACAUGAAUUGGGAACCCAUACAAAGCCUCUCGGAUUUAGGAGGCCUUGUGGGUCCCACUUUUUUUUUAUUUAUUCUCUCACGCUCUCUCUCACUCUCUCUCUCAUACACUAAUUUAUUUAGUGGGGUCCACAUCAAUUUUUAAAAAAAUUAAUUGCACAUUAGGCCCUGAUCUUUUCACUCUUUUUUAUUUUGGUCCCUAAUAUAUCAACUUUGUAUAUUUUUCACUUUAUUCUCCAAACAAUUUUUUAUAAAUUAAUUUAUAUAAUAAUAUAAUAUUUGAUAGUUGAAUUAUUUUACAGUAUAAAAAUAUCUAUUUUGAUUUCGAAUGCCUUUUGAUUAGUCUUAUUUUUUAUGCUUAUGAUAAUUAUCUACUAAUUUCUUUACUAAUUUAAAAUUUAGGAAUCAAAUACUUUAUUAGUUGUAUGUGCGACGAUAAAAGUUAAUGAGGGUACAAUGAAGACGUUGCUGUCAAGGAUACCAAAGAUAGUACUUUCAUUCCAAUUAAUUUUUUUAUUUUAUUUUUUUAUAAAUUCUACCUUGAUGAUAAUAGAAAAAUAAUAAUUUUUUUAAUUCUGUAAUGAGCUUUUAUUUUAUUUUAAAUUGAUUUAUUCAUUUUAUUUAUUAGGUUUAAAUAUUUUUAGAAAGAAAUAUAUCUUAAUGUCAUUUUUUAAUUUAUUCUUUAAUUUAAUUAUUCAGUAUUGAGAUAAAUAAUAUUUAAAAAUAUUAAUGUAUAAUAGAAAAAAAAUAUUAAUAGUUAUUAUAAUUUAUUGUUCUAUUUUCUUCCCGCCGUAUCGCGCGGGG
Molecule: long non-coding RNA, 1024 nt
Filed under: Ananas comosus (pineapple)
Lineage: Eukaryota; Viridiplantae; Streptophyta; Magnoliopsida; Poales; Bromeliaceae
Description: long non-coding RNA (ACOM_LNC034065)
Source: RNAcentral